This 321-nucleotide long non-coding RNA is filed under the name Homo sapiens (human). RNAcentral's name for it is "HSALNT0265787". Lineage: Eukaryota; Metazoa; Chordata; Mammalia; Primates; Hominidae. The record is from RNAcentral.
ACUGUGAAGGUCUGCAGCUUCACUUCUGAAGUCAGCAAGACCACGAACCCACCAGAAGGAAGAAACUCCAGACAUAUAUGAACAUCUGAAGGAACAACUCCGGACACACCAUCUUUAAGAACUGUAACACUCACUGCGAGGGUCCGCAGCUUUAUUCUUGAAGUCGGCGAGACCAAGAACCCACCAGAAGGAACCAAUUCAGGACACAGAUAGGGUGCAGACCUGCAUAGUGAAACUACCCACAGCAAGGAUGUAUGCCUGUGAGUUGGCACAGAAUCGGUGGAUCAGACUUGGCCUUCAACCUCCUGUUAUCCUGAUGAA